This 465-nucleotide ribosomal RNA is filed under the name uncultured bacterium. RNAcentral's name for it is "partial 16S ribosomal RNA". It matches the Rfam family "Bacterial small subunit ribosomal RNA", at positions 338 to 795 of the family's 1533-position model. The record is from RNAcentral.
CCUACGGGAGGCUGCAGUGGGGAAUUUUGCGCAAUGCUCGUAAGAGUGACGCAGCGACGCCGCGUGAAUGACGAAUGCCUUCGGGUCGUAAAGUUCUUUCGACAGGGAAGAAAAUGCCUAUAAGUAACUGUGUAUGUAUUGACGGUAUCUGUAUAAGCAGCCCCGGCUAACUCCGUGCCAGCCGCCGCGGUAAUACGGCGGGGGCGAGCGUUGUUCGGAGUGACUGGGCGUAAAGAGCACGUAGGGGGUGUUGUAAGUCAGUAGUCAAAGAUUAGAGCUCAACUUUAGUAAGGCUAGUGAUACUAUAAUACUAGAGUAUCAGAGAGGAUGGCAGAAUUCCUGGUGUAGCGGUGAAAUGCGUAGAUAUCAGGAAGAAUACCGUUAGCGAAGGCGGCAAUCUGGCUGGAAACUGACACUGAGGUGCGAAAGCGUGGGUAGCAAACAGGAUUAGAUACCCCUGUAGUC